GUACCCUCAAGCUUUGCUUGGUGUUGGGCGUCUUGUCUCUAGCUUUGCUGGAGACUCGCCUUAAAGUAAUUGGCAGCCGGCCUACUGGUUUCGGAGCGCAGCACAAGUCGCACUCUCUAUCAGCAAAGGUCUAGCAUCCAUGAAGCCUAUUUCAAC
RNAcentral lists this unclassified non-coding RNA (156 nucleotides) under Alternaria alternata. RNAcentral's name for it is "sequence contains ITS2". Lineage: Eukaryota; Fungi; Ascomycota; Dothideomycetes; Pleosporales; Pleosporaceae. The record is from RNAcentral.